Molecule: long non-coding RNA, 150 nt
Organism: Pecten maximus
Lineage: Eukaryota; Metazoa; Mollusca; Bivalvia; Pectinida; Pectinidae
Exons: 3
Source: RefSeq, a predicted model, not a curated record
AUGUGACUCACCUGUGCAUGAUCCAUUUGUUCCAUUCUGCCUUCACAGAAUCACAGAUCCAAUUGCAGGUAUAAGAGAGAAAAAUGGACUACGAGCAGAUGACCAUUGGCCAGCUACGAAGUGCAGUCAUAAAAAAAACUAGGAAUUUUU